CCUACGGGUGGCAGCAGUGAGGAAUAUUAGUCAAUGGACGAGAGUCUGAACCAGCCAAGUAGCGUGAAGGAUGACUGCCCUAUGGGUUGUAAACUUCUUUUAUAUGGGAAUAAAAUGUUCCACGUGUGGGAUUUUGUAUGUACCAUAUGAAUAAGGAUCGGCUAACUCCGUGCCAGCAGCCGCGGUAAUACGGAGGAUCCGAGCGUUAUCCGGAUUUAUUGGGUUUAAAGGGAGCGUAGGUGGAUUGUUAAGUCAGUUGUGAAAGUUUGCGGCUCAACCGUAAAAUUGCAGUUGAAACUGGCAGUCUUGAGUACAGUAGAGGUGGGCGGAAUUCGUGGUGUAGCGGUGAAAUGCUUAGAUAUCACGAAGAACUCCGAUUGCGAAGGCAGUUCACUGGACUGCAACUGACACUGAGGCUCGAAAGUGUGGGUAUCAAACAGGAUUAGAUACCCUAGUAGUC
This 460-nucleotide ribosomal RNA is filed under the name uncultured bacterium. RNAcentral describes it as "partial 16S ribosomal RNA". It matches the Rfam family "Bacterial small subunit ribosomal RNA", at positions 338 to 795 of the family's 1533-position model. The record is from RNAcentral.